This 529-nucleotide ribosomal RNA is filed under the name uncultured bacterium. RNAcentral's name for it is "partial 16S ribosomal RNA". It matches the Rfam family "Bacterial small subunit ribosomal RNA", at positions 355 to 895 of the family's 1533-position model. The record is from RNAcentral.
UGGGGAAUAUUGCACAAUGGGCGAAAGCCUGAUGCAGCGACGCCGCGUGCGGGAUGAAGGCCUUCGGGUUGUAAACCGCUUUUAAUUGGGAGCAAGCGAGAGUGAGUGUACCUUUUGAAUAAGCACCGGCUAACUACGUGCCAGCAGCCGCGGUAAUACGUAGGGUGCAAGCGUUAUCCGGAAUUAUUGGGCGUAAAGAGCUCGUAGGCGGUUUGUCACGCCUGGUGUGAAAGUCCAUCGCUUAACGGUGGAUCUGCGCCGGGUACGGGCAGGCUAGAGUGCAGUAGGGGAGAUUGGAAUUCCCGGUGUAACGGUGGAAUGUGUAGAUAUCGGGAAGAACACCAAUGGCGAAGGCAGAUCUCUGGGCUGUUACUGACGCUGAGGAGCGAAAGCAUGGGGAGCGAACAGGAUUAGAUACCCUGGUAGUCCAUGUCGUAAACGGUGGAUGCUGGAUGUGGGGCCCUUCCACGGGCUCCGUGUCGGAGCUAACGCGUUAAGCAUCCCGCCUGGGGAGUACGGCCGCAAGGCU